ACAGAGUAAGUAGGUUGUUACGGACUGGUUGUCUUCCCUGGGGCCGCGCCGGCUGGCUCAUCGGUACUCAGGUGGAGUUCCAUCCCUGGCCCGCAGUCCGCACAAUCGAUAAUUUCACCGAUAUUAACAGCUGUUUAUAAGAGAAGAAACGCAUCACUAACAGAAAAACAAAACAGCUGCCGCGCAAUUGAAAAUUGCGCAAAAACAAAAGGAAAUCCAAAACAAACUAUUGACGACGGGCCACAGCUGGACCCCGGCGUACCCACCCUGCCUGAGAUGGCCACAUCGGCGCCAUCUACCUUGCGUUGGCCACCAUCAGUGGCCGCUCCUCAUCCGGCGUAGUGCUGUGGAGUUCCCCUCCCCUCCAUGCUGAGAAACUUACACAACCAUGUUCAUCGUAAUUACUAUUAUAUUCGAAUUUCAUUACCGCUACACGGAACAGGAUUCGAAACAAAAUCAGCCAACAAAACAAAGAAGAACAACAAAGAAAUAACAACGGAGUAGGGACGAUUUAUAUAUGGUAUGUAAGAUCAAGGAAAAUAUGUGCAUUUAUGUUUUAAUAUGUACGCAUAUUUGGGUGUAUGUAUGUAUAUAAAUGUAUUUAUGUUUGACUCGCUUAAAUGUCUACCUUGACCUGCCUAAGAACUCUUAAGGUUUGGUGAAGGGGCGAUAGGCGAUACUUUAAUGCAUAUAUGUGUAUAUCUUUAUAAAUGUGCAUAUAUCUAUUCCUCCGCAGAUGCGAAUGUUGAUCUGAAUGAUUUCUUGUCCAACACCUACUCUGUCGUUUUACAGCAAAACAUUGAUCUACUUUAAUUUAAAUUUGUACUCUACUUUAAUUAGCUUUCAUAUUUCGAACUUUAAUUUACUUUACUUUAUUUCACUUUGCAGUUUAUAAUUCUUUCAUUUUGUUAUUUUUCUACUCUUUUCAUUUAUAUCUUCUAACAGUUUAUGCUCGAUGACAACUCGAGCUCGAUCGAGCAAUCGUCGCCACCGGUAAUGCGGGUAUAGGGGCGUGUCGCACUAGAGACCAGAACGAGCACGGGCCUGGCACUGACUCACCAGUUGAAUCUCUGCUCCCGGCUCGGCGUUGGCGGUGUCGUCUGCCGCUCGCUGUCCCACGCCGUUGGCGUUACUCCCGUCGUCAAAGCCCGUGUGCCUUCUCCCGGCGACGGUUGCCUGCGGUUAUCCAGCGGUUAUUGUGGCUGCUGGUGUUGCUCGCCGUUGCUCCGGCUGUUGUUGCUGUUGCUCUGGUUGUAGCUGCCGCUGCUCUCUGCUGGAGUUGACGUUGUUGUUGUUGCCGCCGCCGCUGUUAAAUCCUCGUGUCUGGCGAUCUUCUUCUUGUUUGCAACGUUAUUGUUGUUAUUAUUAAUGUUGUUGGCAAUGAGUGCAGCUGCAAUAGAGCCACGCGAUGCUGCAAGUCGUUGCUGCUUCUGUUGUUGUUGUUUUUGUUGGUUGUGCAAUAAAAUGCUUAGGCAACUGACCAACGUCAAUUUAUCAACUGCACUUCUUGGAUUAGUAGUUUUUUUUACUGCCGCUUCGUCUGCUGGCAAUUUGCACUUGUUGAUUUACUCUGCCACGAUUUCACAAUCUGUUUCCUGCACGUAACCAAACUCUCGUCUCACCACUUCAUCAGAAUUCAACUCCCGAACAGCCGUUUUUCUAUUUCUUUGAUGGACCGACACCAACCUCGAUCAAGAAUCAACCUCGUGACACAACUCCCACGAGAAAAGACAGGCAAGAUCGUUCAGCACGAUCUUCCGGCCGACCGUCUCCAACCUCGAUCCAAAAUCAACUCCUCGACUCAGAAAAAUCCACGUUGUAACCUCCCGUGAAAAAAGUUGACAUUCCUUUUUGAACUCCUAUUUAACAGGAGGAGCAAUUUUCAAAUUUCCCCCCCUGGAGUUGCCAUUUCCUAUCUCCGAUAUAUCGCCUCGGGAUAUAUCGAUAACCCCCCCUAACAUUGCUGGCACAAACGAUAUCCAAAACGUAACAAGAAGUGAGCAGUGUGAGUGCGAGUGAGGCAGUGGCUGGGCCGCGUGCGGCGCGUAGCGAGUGCUGACGCAGGGCAAGAGGCACAUGGGCCCAUUGGUUAGGCGACUCGGGGGUCCGAAGAGCAUGCAACGAGCGCAGGCUCAGGAUGGUGUGUUCGAAGUUCGAACAGUUGACCCGAGGAGGAGUUAGAUUAUAUGCUGUAUAACGACUAGGGUUGUCGAAAAUUUUUAAAAAUAUCGUAUCGAUGAUAUUUUUUUUAUCAAAUAAUAUGAUAAUAAUAUUUCUAAAUAUCACCAAAAAAUAUCGAUAUAUUUGAUAUUUUUGAUUUUUUUUAAUAAAAAUGUUUUUUCCUGGAUAAUAAAAAGAAUACAAGUUUUAUAAACUUACAUAUUUUAAUUAUAUUUUUAAUCAACAUGUCUUAUAUGUAUCUAAAUUGAACAUCAAGCCCAAUUGGCAGAAUUUAAAGAUUUUAAAAACACUCUUUGUUUUAUGUGUAUGUCCGUCAUUCGGCUCCUAGCAUCGCUUAUUGCGCAAGUGGGACGACAAAUUCGAUGAAUUACCGCUGGUUUUAAUUGUUUUCUCACAAUGAAUGCACUUCGCGGUGCCGCCUGUUAUAUUUGUGUAAUUUGAUUUAACAUUCAUUUUUAUCUUUAUUCUUCUGUCGAAUUUCAAUUAUUAAUUUAAGUUUAAAUUGAAAGUUUCAAUCGACGCUUUGAAUUUUGAGUGACCAAGGAAAAAAUAUCAAAAAAAUAUCAAAAAAAAUAUCGUGAUUUCGAUAUUUGGGCAAAAAAAUAUCACGAUAUAAAUAUAUCAUUUUUAGAAAAAAAUAUCGAUAUAUUGAUAUUUUGAUAUAUUAUCAACAAUCGUUAUUAACGAGACAAUGAUUGGACUGCACUGUCACAUACGCAAGUGUCGCAGUGAUUUGGAAAUUUUAUAAAUUGAAGUUUAGAUAUUAAUAUUAAUAUUGUAUUGUGUUCUUUGUUUAUUCAUUGUGUUCUUUUAUUUGCACGUGGUAUGUUGGAGCGGUGGGCCAGAGGAGGCGUAGGAUAUCAUGUUGAGUAAACGAGCAGUGAGUGGACAAAACGCUGGACAAAACGCUAUAAUAAUUGGCGACCGGCGUGUGGGCUUGUCAAUGCAACUGAUUGAAAGCACUUGUAAAUUAUUUAAGUAAAUAAAUGAGAAGAAUGACUAGAAAUUGAUAAAUUGUGACCACUCAGGGAACGAGGGAGCGUGCAGUAAGUGCAGACACAGGGUAGUCGAAACAGCGGUUCUGUAAAGGCGUAGGGAAUUGGUUUUUUGCUUUCAGGUGUAAGUGCAGUAUGCAGUAGCAAUUCUGUACGGGAUCCAAGCAGACACACCACACACCACUCACCACCCGCCCCAGCCCAGCACUGAAGGAUAUUCAAAAUAUAGGCUAUGUUUAGUUUGUUGAAAGGGGCACAGUUGCGGUUAGGUUUAUGAAUAUUAGCGACUGGUUUGUUUCUAUUUAUAAUAUUGUUAGUGGAUGUAUUAAACAUUAAAGUCUAUGUCAUUGGCACGAGUAGUAUUAUUGUUUAAUUUGUGGGGCUGCCGUGUUUUU
This is a long non-coding RNA of Drosophila albomicans, 3571 nucleotides long. RefSeq lists it as uncharacterized. The record is from RefSeq and is a predicted model, not a curated record. The transcript has 10 exons. Lineage: Eukaryota; Metazoa; Arthropoda; Insecta; Diptera; Drosophilidae.